UCCCCGAUAGCUCAGUUGGUAGAGCAAGUGGCUGUUAACCACUGGGUCGGCGGUUCGAGUCCGUCUCGGGGAGCCA
Molecule: transfer RNA, 76 nt
Filed under: Alphaproteobacteria bacterium
Lineage: Bacteria; Pseudomonadati; Pseudomonadota; Alphaproteobacteria
Also listed under: 1 other name
Description: tRNA-Asn
Rfam family: tRNA
About the family: Transfer RNA (tRNA) molecules are approximately 80 nucleotides in length. Their secondary structure includes four short double-helical elements and three loops (D, anti-codon, and T loops).
Source: RNAcentral